CUCUCUAGUGACCGAUAGUGAACCAGUACCGUGAGGGAAAGGUGAAAAGUACCCCGGAAGGGGAGUGAAAGAGAACUUGAAACCGUGUGCUUACAAGUAGUCAGAGCCCGUUAAUGGGUGAUGGCGUGCCUUUUGUAGAAUGAACCGGCGAGUUACGAUCUGAUGCAAGGUUAAGCAGAAAAUGUGGAGCCGUAGCGAAAGCGAGUCUGAAUAGGGCGAAUGAGUAUUUGGUCGUAGACCCGAAACCAGGUGAUCUACCCUUGGUCAGGUUGAAGUUCAGGUAACACUGAAUGGAGGACCGAACCGACUUACGUUGAAAAGUGAGCGGAUGAACUGAGGGUAGCGGAGAAAUUCCAAUCGAACUUGGAGAUAGCUGGUUCUCUCCGAAAUAGCUUUAGGGCUAGCCUCAAGUGAUGAUUAUUGGAGGUAGAGCACUGUUUGGACGAGGGGCCCCUCUCGGGUUACCGAAUUCAGACAAACUCCGAAUGCCAAAUAAUUUAACUUGGGAGUCAGAAUGUGGGUGAUAAGGUCCAUAUUCGAAAGGGAAACAGCCCAGACCACCAGCUAAGGUCCCAAAAUAUAUGUUAAGUGGAAAAGGAUGUGGCGUUGCCCAGACAACUAGGAUGUUGGCUUAGAAGCAGCCAUCAUUUAAAGAGUGCGUAAUAGCUCACUAGUCGAGUGACACUGCGCCGAAAAUGUACCGGGGCUAAACAUAUUACCGAAGCUGUGGAUUGUCCUUUGGACAAUGGUAGGAGAGCGUUCUAAGGGCGUUGAAGCAUGAUCGCAAGGACAUGUGGAGCGCUUAGAAGUGAGAAUGCCGGUGUGAGUAGCGAAAGACGGGUGAGAAUCCCGUCCACCGAUUGACUAAGGUUUCCAGAGGAAGGCUCGUCCGCUCUGGGUUAGUCGGGUCCUAAGCUGAGGCCGACAGGCGUAGGCGAUGGAUAACAGGUUGAUAUUCCUGUACCACCAUUAUUCGUUUUAAGCGAUGGGGGGACGCAGUAGGAUAGGCGAAGCGUGCUGUUGGAGUGCACGUCCAAGCAGUGAGAUUGAGUGUUAGGCAAAUCCGGCACUCUUAAGAUUGAGCUGUGAUGGGGAGAGGAACUUGUUCCUCGAGUCGUUGAUUUCACACUGCCGAGAAAAGCCUCUAGCUAGAAUAACGGUGCCCGUACCGCAAACCGACACAGGUAGUCAAGAUGAGAAUUCUAAGGUGAGCGAGCGAACUCUCGUUAAGGAACUCGGCAAAAUGACCCCGUAACUUCGGGAGAAGGGGUGCUCUUUGAGGUUCACGCUUCGAAGAGCCGCAGUGAAUAGGCCCAAGCGACUGUUUAUCAAAAACACAGGUCUCUGCUAAACCGUAAGGUGACGUAUAGGGGCUGACGCCUGCCCGGUGCUGGAAGGUUAAGAGGAGUGGUUAGCGCAAGCGAAGCUACGAAUCGAAGCCCCAGUAAACGGCGGCCGUAACUAUAACGGUCCUAAGGUAGCGAAAUUCCUUGUCGGGUAAGUUCCGACCCGCACGAAAGGCGUAACGAUUUGGGCACUGUCUCAACGAGAGACUCGGUGAAAUCAUAGUACCGGUGAAGAUGCCGGU
RNAcentral lists this ribosomal RNA (1588 nucleotides) under Staphylococcus pseudintermedius. RNAcentral's name for it is "partial 23S ribosomal RNA". It matches the Rfam family "Bacterial large subunit ribosomal RNA", at positions 473 to 2066 of the family's 2925-position model. Lineage: Bacteria; Bacillati; Bacillota; Bacilli; Caryophanales; Staphylococcaceae. The record is from RNAcentral.